UGCUGGAUUAGAGAGCCUGGUUCCAAGAGGGACUGCCUUCUACCAAGGAACAUGGCAAGAACUGAAAUUCCGUAGCCACUGAACAACAGCUGUCCAGCCCUGGUAACCCGCUUCUCCCUGCCACAUCCACUUCUGUGAAUAUAACUACUUUACAUACCUCAGCAGCAACAGAAAACUAGUAUGAAGACUUACAUGUUUUGGAG
This is a long non-coding RNA of Suricata suricatta (meerkat), 203 nucleotides long. RefSeq lists it as uncharacterized. The record is from RefSeq and is a predicted model, not a curated record. NCBI's taxonomy places the organism in Eukaryota, Metazoa, Chordata, Mammalia, Carnivora, Herpestidae. The transcript has 3 exons.